UAUUGGAGGUUGGACCUGUCCCCUGAAAAAUUUUAAAGGACCRCGGUAUUUUGACCGUGCAAAGGUAGCAUAAUCAUUAGUCUUUUAAUUGAGGGCUGGAAUGAAUGGUUUGACGAAAUAAUGACUGUCUCAAAUAUAAUGAAAUUAAAUUUUACUUUUGAGUUAAAAGGCUUAAAUAUUAAUAAGGGACGAGAAGACCCUAUAGAUCUUUAUGAUAGGAAAUAUAUUAUUAAUUUUAKAUGUUAUAAUUAUUAUAUAAUUUUUAUUAUUUUAUUGGGGUGAKAKGAGAAUAUAAAAACUUCUUAAUUUUUAACUUUGAUAGAGGGAUAAUAUAUAACUGAUCCUUUAAUAUGGAAUUAAGAUUAAGAUACCUUAGGGAUAACAGCGUAAUCUUGWUGGAGAGUUCUUAUUGAUAAUARGGAUUGCGACCUCGAWGUUGGAUUAAAAAUAUAAGUUGGAGUAAGUGUUAAUGUUAUGAGCCUGCUC
RNAcentral lists this ribosomal RNA (486 nucleotides) under Gryllidae gen. 1 sp. 1 JD-2021b. Its description in RNAcentral is "partial large subunit ribosomal RNA". The record is from RNAcentral. Lineage: Eukaryota; Metazoa; Arthropoda; Insecta; Orthoptera; Gryllidae.